Molecule: long non-coding RNA, 366 nt
Filed under: Pelobates cultripes (western spadefoot toad)
Lineage: Eukaryota; Metazoa; Chordata; Amphibia; Anura; Pelobatidae
Source: RNAcentral
GUGGUAACUUAGUAUUAUUCGAUAUCUAUGAUUAAAGCCAUACGUUAUGAUGUUUUGGUAAGUUACACACAAAGACCUUCUUGAGACUUCUAAUUACAUGAUGGAAUGAAUGAUUGCCUAUAGAAAUGUGAACCUUCGCAGGAAUUCAGGCUUACAAGGCUAGGUCAAAGGUUAUUAUCAACAGGGUCCACAAGUCUCCAUCCAUCAUUCUUGACUUAAAACCAUAUGUGUGUAAAUUACAGUAUGUGUAUAAAUUACAUUAUGAUAGUAAUCUAUCUGGGUAGGCCUCUCGAUGUCUGGAUAUGCUUAGAAUAAUAACUUACAAUAUUUCUACAUUCCUACAACACGUUGAAUACAUUUAAAGUU